GAUGAACGCUGGCGGCGUGCCUAAUACAUGCAAGUCGAGCGAACAGAUAAGGAGCUUGCUCCUUUGACGUUAGCGGCGGACGGGUGAGUAACACGUGGGUAACCUACCUAUAAGACUGGGAUAACUUCGGGAAACCGGAGCUAAUACCGGAUAACAUUUGGAACCGCAUGGUUCUAAAGUGAAAGAUGGUUUUGCUAUCACUUAUAGAUGGACCCGCGCCGUAUUAGCUAGUUGGUAAGGUAACGGCUUACCAAGGCAACGAUACGUAGCCGACCUGAGAGGGUGAUCGGCCAGACUGGAACUGAGACACGGUCCAGACUCCUACGGGAGGCAGCAGUAGGGAAUCUUCCGCAAUGGGCGAAAGCCUGACGGAGCAACGCCGCGUGAGUGAUGAAGGGUUUCGGCUCGUAAAACUCUGUUAUUAGGGAAGAACAAACGUGUAAGUAACUGUGCACGUCUUGACGGUACCUAAUCAGAAAGCCACGGCUAACUACGUG
This 497-nucleotide ribosomal RNA is filed under the name uncultured bacterium. Its description in RNAcentral is "partial 16S ribosomal RNA". It matches the Rfam family "Bacterial small subunit ribosomal RNA", at positions 28 to 507 of the family's 1533-position model. The record is from RNAcentral.